AUGGAAAAAAAAAAUGGUUGUGGAAAAUUGAUUUUUAAAUAUUUAAAUAUUUGGUACUUAUUUGAAGGAUAUUUUUUUAAUGAUGAAAUAGUAGGAAAAGGAAUUAUUUCUUUAAUAGAUAAAGAUUAUGUAAAAAGAAUAGGACAAAGAAAAAUUGAUAAAUUAUGUCCUCUUUUGAUUAAAGCCAAUUUUGGUAAACAUAAAUUAAAAAAAAGAGAAACAAAUGAAAAUUUCUAUUUUGGUGUAGGUGUAGGUGAUAAAAAUGAUGAAGAAAGUACUUACGAAAAAAAAAGUACAAGUAGUAUUAGUAAUACGCGACAAACAGGUAAUAACAGCAGUGUAAGUGAUCCAAAUAUUAACAAUGAACAAAAUGUUUUGAGAAAUAUUAACAACACACUUGAUCAAAGUAUUAACAAUCAUAACAUAAAUGAAAAACGUAGUAGUAAUAAUAGUAAUACUCAUAAUACCAGUAGUAGUUAUAGCGAUAGUGAAAAUAGUUAUAAACAGGAUACUCCUGCAACAAUGAAAAAAAAGAAAAAUGAUGGGGUACAAUAUGAUUCAGCACACUAUGACGCGACAACAACGGAUUCUAUUAGAAGUGAUGGAACCAGAAGUGAUGGAACCAAAAGUGGUGGAACCAAAAGUGAUGAAACCAGAAGUGAUGAAACCGAAAGUGAUGAAACCGAAAGUGAUGAAACCGAAAGUGAUGAAACUGAAAGUGAUGGAACCAGAAGUGGUGGAACCAGAAGUGGUGAAACAAAAACAGAUGUGACAAGAACAGAUGCAACAAGAACAGAUGCGACAAGAGUUGAUAUAAAAAAAAAAGAAAUAGCGAAAAAAAAAAAAAGGGAAAAAAAAAAGGAAAAAAAAAAAGAAAAACUAAUCGAACUUAUUGAAAGGACUGUGAUGGAAAAUUACAGUGAAGUCAAUAAUGUCGAUUUUUGGCCACAAAAAAUUAUAGAUAUAUUUUUCCCAUAUUUAAAAAAAUGGGACACCUACUCAUUUUAUUGUUCAAGUAAUAUAGAACAUGUAAAUAGUAAAAAAAGCUGUUUUCAAACAAAAGGAAACUAUUUUAGAAAUCUUAUUGGUUACCCUCCUUUUGAAUUACUAAAUGGAGAAAAUGAUUUAAUGGUGCCUAUGCAAUACAGUAUUGAUGGUGGUGAAUUUAGCGAGAUCGUUAACGAUUGGGGUUAUUCCUAUGGUUUAGAUAGUAUUUACACACAUAAACCACUUCGUUCAGCAUCAGCUGAGCUUAUUCGAACGGCAACAGCUAACCUUAUUCGUUCGAGGUCAGCUGCUCUUGCACAUGCUUCGACAGUUAGUUAUAGGCUUACAUCACACACUCAGCCUACCGGUGCAACCAUGUAUGACAAUAUGACAAAAGAGUCAAAAAAAAGAGGUAAAAAAGUGGGUUCGAAUUUAGGGGCAGGUUCGAAUUUAGGGGCAGGUUCNNNNNNNNNNUUAGGGGCAGGUUCAAACUUAGGGGCAGGUUCACAGUUCCAAACAAAUUCAUACAUUCCAAUGAGUAAAAAUACAAAAGGAACUGCAAAUGUUGAAGUAGUAGGCCAGCAGUCACACAACAUAUUUGGUGGGUCACAAAUAUACGACUUUGGAAAAAAUAAAAAAGAUACUAACAUCCUUAUCCAACUGGGUGAAAAUAGUAACUUACUAUAUAAAGAAUUUGUCGCAUAUAUGAAACGAAGUGAUAAGAUCCAAAAAAAAACAAAGUUAUAUUAUCCUAUAUUAAGUGAGAACGUAGGUUUAGUAAAAAUAAUUUAUGCUGAUAAGAGUGAAUAUCUAGGUCCUAUAAAUGAUAAAGGACAACCUAACACCAAUAAAGAACAUCCGAAAGCAUUUUUUAACAAUAAUUAUUUUUUUUAUGAAGGAGAAAUGAAAGAUUGUUUACCUAACGGAUAUGGUAUAUUUAAAAAUAAAGAUACUAAUACAAAUACAUAUUUAGGAUAUUGGAAAAAUGGAUAUAGAGAAGGAAUUGGUAAUUUAAAUUUAAAAAAUAAAAAAUAUAUUAUUCAAGCUAAUUUUGUAAAAGAUCAAAUUCAUGAUAAUAUAACUAUUACCAUACGAGAUGGAAAAAUAGCUAAACUAUUUUUAAGUAAUUUAAAUAAAAAAUCACAAAAAAUAAAAAUAUUUUUCAGAAGUGGAUAUAUUUUUUAUGGCUAUUUUUCUGAAAGAUAUGAAAGAAAUGGAAUAGGUAUAUUAAUUGAUAAUAAUAAUAAAAUACUUUAUCAUGGUUAUUAUAAAAAUGAUAUUAUAAAUAAAUUUUGUUACAUUUUAAGACAUAAAGAUAAUACAGUAUAUAGUGGUAACCUACAUAAUGGUAAAAAAAAUGGAUUUGGAAAAUUAUAUUAUGAAGAAAAAUUAAAAUUUCACGAAGAAAAUAAUUUUAAUUUAAAUUAUUCUAAUAGUAAUAUUAUUUCAAGAAAAUUAGACUCUUAUAAUAUAAUUGAUCUAAAUACAGAUGUACCAUUUAAAUUUGUAUUCGAUUCAAGUCAUGCUAUAUAUAUAGGAUAUUGGGAAAAUAAUAAUAUUUCUCAUUAUGGUACAUGUAAUUUAAAAACUGGAAUUUAUAAAGGAGAUAUUAAAGAAUCACAAAAAGACGGAUUAGGAAUUUAUAUAUAUAAACAAAAUAAAUCUUAUAAAAAUAAAAAUAGAUAUAUUUUAUCCUAUUUUCAAAAUGAUAAAAUACAUAAUAUAGGGAAAUAUUAUAGUAAAAAUGAUAAAAUGAAAGUAUAUUCAAUUAUGGAUGAACAAAUUAAAAAUAAUAGACAUUUAUAUAAAUGUUUUACAAAACAAUAUGUAGAUUAUAAUAGAUUAAAAACAGAAAAAUUUACCAUUUCACAUGAUCUAGAUCCAUAUAUUAAUAUACCGCUCAGUGAUUCGUUAGCUAAUAUUAUGAAUGAGAUUAUGGAUUCAUCUACCAGUUUUGUGCAUUAUUUAUCCCUUCCUUUUCGAUUUGACCUUCCCUAUUUUUUAAAGAAGUAA
This is a long non-coding RNA of Piliocolobus tephrosceles (Ugandan red Colobus), 3000 nucleotides long. Lineage: Eukaryota; Metazoa; Chordata; Mammalia; Primates; Cercopithecidae. The record is from Ensembl.